CCUACGGGAGGCAGCAGUGGGGAAUAUUGGACAAUGGGCGAAAGCCUGAUCCAGCCAUGCCGCGUGUGUGAAGAAGGUCUUCGGAUUGUAAAGCACUUUAAGUUGGGAGGAAGGGUUGUACGUUAAUACCGUGCAAUUUUGACGUUACCGACAGAAUAAGCACCGGCUAACUUCGUGCCAGCAGCCGCGGUAAU
This 194-nucleotide ribosomal RNA is filed under the name uncultured bacterium. RNAcentral's name for it is "partial 16S ribosomal RNA". It matches the Rfam family "Bacterial small subunit ribosomal RNA", at positions 338 to 524 of the family's 1533-position model. The record is from RNAcentral.